GACGAACGCUGGCGGCGUGCUUAACACAUGCAAGUCGAACGGAAAGGCCCUGCUUUUGUUGGGUUCUCGAGUGGCGAACUGGUGAGCAACUCGUUAGUAUCCCGCCCUUGCCUUUGUGAUGACUUCAGGAAACUGCGGCUAAUACCGGUUCUGAGCCCCUCCUACAUGGUGGGCGGGAGAAGGUUUCGGCGGUUGGGGAGGUACUCGCGGCUUUUCAGCUUGUUGGUGGGGUAGUGGUUUACCAAGGCUUGGACGGAUAGCCGGUGUGAGCGGGUGACCGGGCACAAUGGCACUGAGACAGGGACCAGAAUACUAGGGGAGGAAGGAGUAGGGGAUAUUGCACUGUGGGAGGGAGGCUGAUGCAGCGACGCCGGGUGGGGGGUGACGGCCUUCGGGUUGUAGCCGGCUAUCGCCUGUGGCGAAGCGUGAGUGACGGUAAUGGGUAAAGAAGCGCCGGCUAACUACGUG
This 468-nucleotide ribosomal RNA is filed under the name uncultured bacterium. RNAcentral describes it as "partial 16S ribosomal RNA". It matches the Rfam family "Bacterial small subunit ribosomal RNA", at positions 28 to 507 of the family's 1533-position model. The record is from RNAcentral.